GGUUUCAUACUGAUCGUUAAGGGAACAAAAUAUAUUCAUCGAUGUAUUUUCUAGCCUACUGAGAAAGUCCAAAUUUUUUUCACAUGAAAGGGUCGAUUUUGCUUUUCUUCAAGUCAAAAUUGGUGGUUACAAAGUACAAUUGAUGGGUCUUGCGAGAUGAAUAGAAGUAGCUAAUGAAGCAAAGCAUAAGAAAAAGAUAAACAGGUUCCAUGGAAUCUAUGGGUUUCUUAUUUUGGAGAUUGUUGUUCUUCGUUUUUGUUGGGUUAAUUGAAUUAUAUCUUUAAUUUUUGUUUUUGUUCUUGUUUUGCAGGUUCGAUUUUCCUGCUAUU
RNAcentral lists this long non-coding RNA (329 nucleotides) under Trifolium pratense (red clover). RNAcentral describes it as "long non-coding RNA (TPRA_LNC005269)". Lineage: Eukaryota; Viridiplantae; Streptophyta; Magnoliopsida; Fabales; Fabaceae. The record is from RNAcentral.